AUUGAACGCUGGCGGAAUGCUUUACACAUGCAAGUCGAACGGCAGCACGGGGCAACCUGGUGGCGAGUGGCGAACGGGUGAGUAAUACAUCGGAACGUGCCCAAUCGUGGGGGAUAACGUAGCGAAAGUUACGCUAAUACCGCAUACGAUCUACGGAUGAAAGCGGGGGAUCGCAAGACCUCGCGCGAAUGGAGCGGCCGAUGUCAGAUUAGGUAGUUGGUGAGGUAAGGCUCACCAAGGCGACGAUCCGUAGCUGGUCUGAGAGGACGACCAGCCACACUGGAACUGAGACACGGUCCAGACUCCUACGGGAGGCAGCAGUGGGGAAUUUGGACAAUGGGCGCAAGCCUGAUCCAGCCAUUCCGCGUGAGUGAAGAAGGCCU
This 383-nucleotide ribosomal RNA is filed under the name uncultured bacterium. Its description in RNAcentral is "bacterial SSU rRNA". It matches the Rfam family "Bacterial small subunit ribosomal RNA", at positions 29 to 417 of the family's 1533-position model. The record is from RNAcentral.